This 224-nucleotide ribosomal RNA is filed under the name uncultured bacterium. RNAcentral describes it as "partial 16S ribosomal RNA". It matches the Rfam family "Bacterial small subunit ribosomal RNA", at positions 524 to 747 of the family's 1533-position model. The record is from RNAcentral.
UACGGGGGAGCAAGCGUUGUUCGGAUUUACUGGGCGUAAAGGGCGCGUAGGCGGCCUACUAAGUCAGACGUGAAAUCCCCCGGCUUAACCUGGGAACUGCGUCUGAUACUGGAAGCUUGAGGAUGGGAGAGGGAUGUAGAAUUCCAGGUGUAGCGGUGAAAUGCGUAGAUAUCUGGAGGAAUACCGGUGGCGAAGGCGGCAAUCCUGGACCAUUACGUGACGCU